This 76-nucleotide transfer RNA is filed under the name Serinibacter arcticus. Its description in RNAcentral is "Serinibacter sp. K3-2 tRNA-Arg". It matches the Rfam family "tRNA". From Rfam's summary of the family: Transfer RNA (tRNA) molecules are approximately 80 nucleotides in length. Their secondary structure includes four short double-helical elements and three loops (D, anti-codon, and T loops). Further hydrogen bonds mediate the characteristic L-shaped molecular structure. tRNAs have two regions of fundamental functional importance: the anti-codon, which is responsible for specific mRNA codon recognition, and the 3' end, to which the tRNAs corresponding amino acid is attached (by aminoacyl-tRNA synthetases). tRNAs cope with the degeneracy of the genetic code in two manners: having more than one tRNA (with a specific anti-codon) for a particular amino acid; and 'wobble' base-pairing, i.e. permitting non-standard base-pairing at the 3rd anti-codon position. Lineage: Bacteria; Bacillati; Actinomycetota; Actinomycetes; Micrococcales; Beutenbergiaceae. The record is from RNAcentral.
GCCUCCGUAGCUCAGUGGAUAGAGCGUCUGCCUCCGGAGCAGAAGGUCGCUGGUUCGAAUCCAGUCGGGGGUACCA